GAUGAACGCUGGCGGCGUGCCUAAUACAUGCGAGUCGAGCGAACGGACGAGAAGCUUGCUUCUCUGAUGUUAGCGGCGGACGGGUGAGUAACACGUGGAUAACCUACCUAUAAGACUGGGAUAACGUCGGGAAACCGGAGCUAAUACCGGAUAAUAGUUUGAACCGCAUGGUUCAAAAGUGAACGACGGUCUUGCUGUCACUUAUAGAUGGAUCCGCGCUGCAUUAGCUAGUUGGUAAGGUAACGGCUUACCAAGGCAACGAUGCAUAGCCGACCUGAGAGGGUGAUCAGCCACACUGGAACUGAGACACGGUCCAGACUCCUACGGGAGGCAGCAGUAGGGAAUCUUGCGCAAUGGGCGAAAGCCUGACGGAGCAACGCCGCGUGAGUGAUGAAGGUCUUCGGAUCGUAAAACUCUGUUAUUAGGGAAGAACAUAUGUGUAAGUAACUGUGCACAUCUUGACGUUACCUAAUCAGAAAGCCACGGCUAACUACGUG
Molecule: ribosomal RNA, 497 nt
Filed under: uncultured bacterium
Lineage: Bacteria
Description: partial 16S ribosomal RNA
Rfam family: Bacterial small subunit ribosomal RNA
Source: RNAcentral